Molecule: ribosomal RNA, 479 nt
Filed under: uncultured bacterium
Lineage: Bacteria
Description: partial 16S ribosomal RNA
Rfam family: Bacterial small subunit ribosomal RNA
Source: RNAcentral
GAUGAACGCUGGCGGCGUGCCUAACACAUGCAAGUCGAGCGCUGAGUUUUGAACUGGCUCUUCGGAUUGAGUUUCAAAUGGGAAACGGCCGACGGGUGAGUAUCGCGUAGACAACCUGCCCAAUACAAGGAGAUAGAGCUUGUACACGAAUAUUAUUACUUUAUGAUACUUAUCUAGUGAAUGCUAGAUAGGUCCAAGAAUUAGCGGUAUGGGAUGGGCCUGCGUCUGAUUAGCUAGUUGGUGAGGUAACGGCUCACCAAGGCGACGAUCAGUAGCCGAGCUGAGAGGGUGAACGGCCACAUGGGAACUGAGCCACGGUCCAAACUCCUACGGGAUGCAGCAGUGGGGAAUAUUGCACAAUGGGGGAAACCCUGAUGCAGCAACGCCGCUUGAACGAUGAAGGCCUUUGGGUCGUAAAGUUCUGUUCUAGGUGAUGAAAACUGACAGUAACCUAGGAGAAAGCCCCGGCUAACUCCGUG